Molecule: long non-coding RNA, 1243 nt
Filed under: Xyrichtys novacula (pearly razorfish)
Lineage: Eukaryota; Metazoa; Chordata; Actinopteri; Labriformes; Labridae
Source: RNAcentral
UGUGUGUGUGUGUGUGUGUUCGGUGUGUGUAACAUCCCUGCAGAGAGAGGAGGGGUCCACCAGGAGGGGACUAAGGUUACCCCCUGAUAGAGGCAGCGCGGGGUCAUCUCGCAGCGGGACACUUCUCAGGGGCGACCCCGCCGCCCCUUGUGGCCCCCCGAGCAGCCGGGACUUCUGAGGGGAGAAGAGGAAGGACCAGAGGAGAGACCCCCAGAGAACAGGACCCCCGGUCUGCCCCAGACCUCAGCACCCCGGCCUCAACAGAGCCCGACCCAGGUCCAAUGUGUUCCCAAUCAGGAGAAACACAAACAAGACUUUUAUUAAAGAGAGCGGGCCGCAGAGGAAAGCCGCACACACACAUACACAUACACUCACACACACACACGUAUAAAUACACACACUCAACACACACAUACACAUUUUCUCCAAACAGAAACAGGAGCAGAAUUAACUUGAAUUAACACUCAGAUUAAGAAACUGUAAAUCAGCACAAACAAAGAACUGUCAAAUCACGAUUAUCACCAUCACCCAUGACCCCGACUCCUGCCUCCCUUUCCUCCUCUCGCCUCCAUUCUUCUGCGUCUCUAUCCGGGAAAACAAACGGAGGGAUUAGGGAUUUGUGGAGGGGUAAUGGGAGCCAGGUGGAGGAGUGUGACUGCGGGGGUCUCCUGCCAGAUUAGGGGGAGCGGCAAGCCCCAAUCCCUCACACUCCUUCCUAAAGGCGGCUAAUGUUUCUUUUGAAGAAAUGAUCCUGUUUGGCCAUCUAAUAGCACUUGGCAAUUAUGAGCCUUUGCAGGGCAUGUUUGGUAUUACAGAGGCUGGCUACCUGCGGAGACUCAGAGGAGGGGAGAGAGUUUAUCAAGUGAUAACAUACAGAUCUAAGAUGAUGGAGACUUUAAACAGUAAAUACACAAGAAGUGCAUGCAGAAUCCAAAAGUUCUUCUUUGUGGACUUUGUCAAAUAUGUAUUAACUGUGUUUUUAUUUUUGCUUUUUUCUGUCUUACCAGCAUCACUUUGGGAGACACAACUCAUAAAGCUCCACGGACUCUAGAUGGGUGAGCAUGAGCCCUGAAGAGGAUCUGACAGUCUGUGAGUUGGCACAAAGCAAACCUGAUCUCAUCCCAGGGAAGAUUCUCUGGACCGCUCUGUCGAUCCAUGUCUGGAGGGACGGGAAGACCCUGUGGUCGAGGACUUCACACCAUAAAUUCUUCUGAGUGCAUACUUAAAGUAGUUCAGACCUAAC